AUUGAACGCUGGCGGCAGGCCUAACACAUGCAAGUCGAACGGUAACAGGAAGAAGCUUGCUUCUUUGCUGACGAGCGGCGGACGGGUGAGUAAUGUCUGGGAAACUGCCUGAUGGAGGGGGAUAACUACUGGAAACGGUAGCUAAUACCGCAUAACGUCGCAAGCCCAAAGAGGGGGACCUUCGGGCCUCUUGCCAUCGGGUGUGCCCAGAUGGGAUUAGCUAGUAGGUGGGGUAACGGCUCACCUAGGCGACGAUCCCUAGCUGGUCUGAGAGGAUGACCGGCCACACUGGAACUGAGACACGGUCCAGACUCCUACGGGAGGCAGCAGUGGGGAAUAUUGCACAAUGGGCGCAAGCCUGAUGCAGCCAUGCCGCGUGUAUGAAGAAGGCCUUCGGGUUGUAAAGUACUUUCAGCGGGGAGGAAGGGAGUAAAGUUAAUACCUUGGCUCAUUGACGUUACCCGCAGAAGAAGCACCGGCUAACUCCGUG
RNAcentral lists this ribosomal RNA (490 nucleotides) under uncultured bacterium. Its description in RNAcentral is "partial 16S ribosomal RNA". It matches the Rfam family "Bacterial small subunit ribosomal RNA", at positions 30 to 507 of the family's 1533-position model. The record is from RNAcentral.